UGGCUCAGUUGGUAGAGCAUGGUGCGUGCAACGCCAGGGUUGUGGGUUUGAUUCCCAC
Molecule: non-coding RNA, 58 nt
Organism: Salmo salar (Atlantic salmon)
Lineage: Eukaryota; Metazoa; Chordata; Actinopteri; Salmoniformes; Salmonidae
Source: Rfam